ACAGCAGUCGCCGCGGGAAUACGUAGGGUGCAAGCGUUGUCCGGAAUUAUUGGGCGUAAAGAGCUCGUAGGCGGUUUGUCGCGUCUGCUGUGAAAUCCCGAGGCUCAACCUCGGGCUUGCAGUGGGUACGGGCAGACUAGAGUGCGGUAGGGGAGAUUGGAAUUCCUGGUGUAGCGGUGGAAUGCGCAGAUAUCAGGAGGAACACCGAUGGCGAAGGCAGAUCUCUGGGCCGUAACUGACGCUGAGGAGCGAAAGCGUGGGGAGCGAACAGGAUUAGAGACCCGAGUAGUCCCUGUCUCUUAUAC
Molecule: ribosomal RNA, 305 nt
Filed under: uncultured bacterium
Lineage: Bacteria
Description: partial 16S ribosomal RNA
Rfam family: Bacterial small subunit ribosomal RNA
Source: RNAcentral